This 590-nucleotide ribosomal RNA is filed under the name uncultured bacterium. Its description in RNAcentral is "bacterial SSU rRNA". It matches the Rfam family "Bacterial small subunit ribosomal RNA", at positions 422 to 1023 of the family's 1533-position model. The record is from RNAcentral.
GUUGUACAGCUCUAUUGUCCGAGGAAGAUACUGAUCGCUGCGCGCUGAUAACCCCCGGCUAACUCCGUGCCAGCAGCCGCGGUACUACGAAGGGGGCUAGCGUCGCUCGGAAUCACUAGGCGUAAAGCGCACGUAAGGCGGGCUAUUAAGUCGGAAGUGAAAUCCCAGGGCUCAAACCUGGAACUGCCUUCGAUACUGGAAGUCUCGAGUCCGGAAGAGGUGAGUGGAACUCCGAGUGUAGAGGUGAAAUUCGUAGAUAUUCUGGAAGAACACCAGUGGCGAAGGCGGCCACCUGGCGAAACAUUGACGCUGAGGCGCGAAAGCGUGGGGAUCAAACAGGAUUAGAUACCCUGGUAGUCCACGCCGUCAACGAUGAAUGCUAGAUGUUCGGAGAGUUAACCCUCUGAGUAUCGCAGCUAACGCAUUAAGCAUUCCGCCUGGGAAGUACAUGUUCGCAAGGCUGAAACUCGCAGGAAUUGACGGGGGCCCGCACAAGCGGUGGAGUCUGUGGUUUACUUCGAAGCACCGCGCAGAAACUUACCUGGUCUUGACAUCCCGCGAAGACUGCAGAGAUGUCGUCGUCCCUUCGG